RNAcentral lists this ribosomal RNA (1337 nucleotides) under Escherichia coli. RNAcentral describes it as "partial 23S ribosomal RNA". It matches the Rfam family "Bacterial large subunit ribosomal RNA", at positions 1614 to 2925 of the family's 2925-position model. The record is from RNAcentral. Lineage: Bacteria; Pseudomonadati; Pseudomonadota; Gammaproteobacteria; Enterobacterales; Enterobacteriaceae.
AAAGCCUCUAAGCAUCAGGUAACAUCAAAUCGUACCCCAAACCGACACAGGUGGUCAGGUAGAGAAUACCAAGGCGCUUGAGAGAACUCGGGUGAAGGAACUAGGCAAAAUGGUGCCGUAACUUCGGGAGAAGGCACGCUGAUAUGUAGGUGAAGCGACUUGCUCGUGGAGCUGAAAUCAGUCGAAGAUACCAGCUGGCUGCAACUGUUUAUUAAAAACACAGCACUGUGCAAACACGAAAGUGGACGUAUACGGUGUGACGCCUGCCCGGUGCCGGAAGGUUAAUUGAUGGGGUUAGCGGUAACGCGAAGCUCUUGAUCGAAGCCCCGGUAAACGGCGGCCGUAACUAUAACGGUCCUAAGGUAGCGAAAUUCCUUGUCGGGUAAGUUCCGACCUGCACGAAUGGCGUAAUGAUGGCCAGGCUGUCUCCACCCGAGACUCAGUGAAAUUGAACUCGCUGUGAAGAUGCAGUGUACCCGCGGCAAGACGGAAAGACCCCGUGAACCUUUACUAUAGCUUGACACUGAACAUUGAGCCUUGAUGUGUAGGAUAGGUGGGAGGCUUUGAAGUGUGGACGCCAGUCUGCAUGGAGCCGACCUUGAAAUACCACCCUUUAAUGUUUGAUGUUCUAACGUUGGCCCGUAAUCCGGGUUGCGGACAGUGUCUGGUGGGUAGUUUGACUGGGGCGGUCUCCUCCUAAAGAGUAACGGAGGAGCACGAAGGUUGGCUAAUCCUGGUCGGACAUCAGGAGGUUAGUGCAAUGGCAUAAGCCAGCUUGACUGCGAGCGUGACGGCGCGAGCAGGUGCGAAAGCAGGUCAUAGUGAUCCGGUGGUUCUGAAUGGAAGGGCCAUCGCUCAACGGAUAAAAGGUACUCCGGGGAUAACAGGCUGAUACCGCCCAAGAGUUCAUAUCGACGGCGGUGUUUGGCACCUCGAUGUCGGCUCAUCACAUCCUGGGGCUGAAGUAGGUCCCAAGGGUAUGGCUGUUCGCCAUUUAAAGUGGUACGCGAGCUGGGUUUAGAACGUCGUGAGACAGUUCGGUCCCUAUCUGCCGUGGGCGCUGGAGAACUGAGGGGGGCUGCUCCUAGUACGAGAGGACCGGAGUGGACGCAUCACUGGUGUUCGGGUUGUCAUGCCAAUGGCACUGCCCGGUAGCUAAAUGCGGAAGAGAUAAGUGCUGAAAGCAUCUAAGCACGAAACUUGCCCCGAGAUGAGUUCUCCCUGAGACUUAGAGUCUCCUGAAGGAACGUUGAAGACGACGACGUUGAUAGGCCGGGUGUGUAAGCGCAGCGAUGCGUUGAGCUAACCGGUACUAAUGAACCGUGAGGCUUAACCUU